This 404-nucleotide ribosomal RNA is filed under the name Actinomycetes bacterium. RNAcentral describes it as "Actinobacteria bacterium partial 16S ribosomal RNA". It matches the Rfam family "Bacterial small subunit ribosomal RNA", at positions 355 to 776 of the family's 1533-position model. The record is from RNAcentral. Lineage: Bacteria; Bacillati; Actinomycetota; Actinomycetes.
UGGGGAAUAUUGGACAAUGGGCGCAAGCCUGAUCCAGCCAUGCCGCGUGAGUGAUGAAGGCCCUAGGGUUGUAAAGCUCUUUCACCGGUGAAGAUAAUGACGGUAACCGGAGAAGAAGCCCCGGCUAACUUCGUGCCAGCAGCCGCGGUAAUACGAAGGGGGCUAGCGUUGUUCGGAUUUACUGGGCGUAAAGCGCACGUAGGCGGACUAUUAAGUCAGGGGUGAAAUCCCGGGGCUCAACCCCGGAACUGCCUUUGAUACUGGUAGUCUUGGGUUCGAGAGAGGUGAGUGGAAUUCCGAGUGUAGAGGUGAAAUUCGUAGAUAUUCGGAGGAAAACCAGUGGCGAAGGCGGCUCACUGGCUCGAUACUGACGCUGAGGUGCGAAAGCGUGGGGAGCAAACAGG